This 468-nucleotide ribosomal RNA is filed under the name uncultured bacterium. RNAcentral describes it as "partial 16S ribosomal RNA". It matches the Rfam family "Bacterial small subunit ribosomal RNA", at positions 28 to 507 of the family's 1533-position model. The record is from RNAcentral.
GACGAACGCUGGCGGCGUGCUUAGCACAUGCAAGUCGAACGGAAAGGCCCUGCUUUUGUGGGGUGCUCGAGUGGCGAACGGGUGAGUAACACGUGAGUAACCUGCCCUUGACUUUGGGAUAACUUCAGGAAACUGGGGCUAACACCGGAUAGGAGCUCCUGCUGCAUGGUGGGGGUUGGAAAGUUUCGGCGGUUGGGGAUGGACUCGCGGCUUAUCAGCUUGUUGGUGGGGUAGUGGCUUACCAAGGCUUUGACGGGUAGCCGGCCUGAGAGGGUGACCGGCCACAUUGGGACUGAGAUACGGCCCAGACUCCUACGGGAGGCAGCAGUGGGGAAUAUUGCACAAUGGGCGGAAGCCUGAUGCAGCAACGCCGCGUGCGGGAUGACGGCCUUCGGGUUGUAAACCGCUUUCGCCUGUGACGAAGCGUGAGUGACGGUAAUGGGUAAAGAAGCACCGGCUAACUACGUG